This 253-nucleotide ribosomal RNA is filed under the name uncultured bacterium. Its description in RNAcentral is "partial 16S ribosomal RNA". It matches the Rfam family "Bacterial small subunit ribosomal RNA", at positions 524 to 776 of the family's 1533-position model. The record is from RNAcentral.
UACGUAGGGUGCAAGCGUUAAUCGGAAUUACUGGGCGUAAAGCGUGCGCAGGCGGUUAUGUAAGACAGGUGUGAAAUCCCAGGGCUUAACCUUGGAACUGCAUUUGUGACUGCAUAGCUAGAGUACGGUAGAGGGGGAUGGAAUUCCGCGUGUAGCAGUGAAAUGCGUAGAUAUGCGGAGGAACACCAAUGGCGAAGGCGAUCCCCUGGACCUGUACUGACGCUCAUGCACGAAAGCGUGGGGAGCAAACCGG